Molecule: ribosomal RNA, 497 nt
Filed under: uncultured bacterium
Lineage: Bacteria
Description: partial 16S ribosomal RNA
Rfam family: Bacterial small subunit ribosomal RNA
Source: RNAcentral
GAUGAACGCUGGCGGCGUGCCUAAUACAUGCCAGUCGAGCGAACGGACGAGAAGCUUGCUUCUCUGAUGUUAGCGGCGGACGGGCGAGUAACACGUGGAUAACCUACCUAUAAGACUGGGAUAACUUCGGGAAACCGGAGCUAAUACCGGAUAAUAUUUUGAACCGCAUGAUUCAAAAGUGAAAGACGGUCUUGCUGUCACUUAUAGAUGGAUCCGCGCUGCAUUAGCUAGUUGGUAAGGUAACGGCUUACCAAGGCAACGAUGCAUAGCCGACCUGAGAGGGUGAUCGGCCACACUGGAACUGAGACACGGUCCAGACUCCUACGGGAGGCAGCAGUAGGGAAUCUUCCGCAAUGGGCGAAAGCCUGACGGAGCAACGCCGCGUGAGUGAUGAAGGUCUUCGGAUCGUAAAACUCUGUUAUUAGGGAAGAACAUAUGUGUAAGUAACUGUGCACAUCUUGACGGUACCUAAUCAGAAAGCCACGGCUAACUACGUG